This 342-nucleotide ribosomal RNA is filed under the name uncultured bacterium. RNAcentral describes it as "bacterial SSU rRNA". It matches the Rfam family "Bacterial small subunit ribosomal RNA", at positions 29 to 364 of the family's 1533-position model. The record is from RNAcentral.
AUUGAACGCUGGCGGCAUGCCUAACACAUGCAAGUCGAACGGCAGCACGGCAGUAGCAAUACUGUGGGUGGCGAGUGGCGGACGGGUGAGGAAUACGUCGGAAUCUGCCCAGUCGUGGGGGAUAACUAGCCGAAAGGUUAGCUAAUACCGCAUACGACUGAGAGGUGAAAGCGGGGGACCGGCAAGGCCUCGCGCGAUUGGAUGAGCCGACGUCGGAUUAGCUAGUUGGAGGGGUAAAGGGCCCACCAAGGCGACGAUCCGUAGCUGGUCUGAGAGGAUGAUCAGCCACACUGGAACUGAGACACGGUCCAGACUCCUACGGGAGGCAGCAGUGGGGAAGUA